This is a small nucleolar RNA of Chanos chanos (milkfish), 137 nucleotides long. RefSeq annotates it as small nucleolar RNA SNORA57. NCBI's taxonomy places the organism in Eukaryota, Metazoa, Chordata, Actinopteri, Gonorynchiformes, Chanidae. The transcript has a single exon. The record is from RefSeq and is a predicted model, not a curated record.
CCUCCAUUUCUUGGCAUACAUGUAAUUGUUCAGUAUUCAUGUGUGUUAUGUACGGAGGUAAACUAGAUCCAGUGCUAUGUCUUCGGUACCAGUGCGUUCAUCGUCUGCUGGUUCUAUCCUCAAUCGCUGGAACAACA